This is a non-coding RNA of Xyrichtys novacula (pearly razorfish), 344 nucleotides long. The record is from the annotation of a GenBank genome assembly. NCBI's taxonomy places the organism in Eukaryota, Metazoa, Chordata, Actinopteri, Labriformes, Labridae.
UGCCUGGUCUGGCUUUACUUACUUCCAGAGCUUCCUCCCCUCCCCCGGCGCUGAGGCUGAGUGAGACUACACACUUGCUCCACAUCUCCAAUCAAGGCACUUUAAGAAGCCUGCAGCCCUCAGUCUCAGCGCCUGAGUAUUGUCUACCCUUCCUAGAGGUAAAGACGCGUCUCCAAGCCAAAACCUUGUUUGUAUCAGUACCAGAACUUUGCUCCUCGUGACUCUUUUCAUGUUCUAUAACUCCCGUCUCCUCUGGUUUUUCCUGCAGUGUCUCCAGCCCACACGACAGCCAGCCAACCAGCCAACCGGACAUCCUCGUUUGCAUUUUCAACCUUUUGUUCAAC